Molecule: RNase P RNA, 361 nt
Rfam family: Bacterial RNase P class A
About the family: Ribonuclease P (RNase P) is a ubiquitous endoribonuclease, found in archaea, bacteria and eukarya as well as chloroplasts and mitochondria. Its best characterised activity is the generation of mature 5'-ends of tRNAs by cleaving the 5'-leader elements of precursor-tRNAs. Cellular RNase Ps are ribonucleoproteins.
GAAGGUCGCCGGGCAGUCGCGCGUCGCAAGACGUGAGGAAAGUCCGGGCUUCACGGGGCAGCGUGCAGGAUAACGUCCUGUCGGGGCAACUCGAAGGAAAGUGCCACAGAAACAAACCACCGUGGCCGGUUCGCCGCUCACGGUAAGGGUGAAAUCGUGAGGUAAGAGCUCACGGAGCGUCGCGGUGACGCGCGCUCGGGUAAACCCCACGCGAAGCAAGAUCGCUCGACUCGUCCUUCGGGACCGGACGGCCCGUCCGAACGAGCUACGUCGCAUCGAGGCGAACGGUAACGUGCGCCCCAGAUAGAUGGCUGCCGCCGCGCGAGCGGUACAGAAUCCGGCUUACAGGCGGCCUUCGCAC